RNAcentral lists this small RNA (267 nucleotides) under Pan troglodytes (chimpanzee). RNAcentral's name for it is "retained intron". The record is from RNAcentral. Lineage: Eukaryota; Metazoa; Chordata; Mammalia; Primates; Hominidae.
GUGUAUAAUUUAUUGCUUUAAAAUUUCUUUCUGAAGGUUUCAGUGUUGACUGGUGGGCUCUUGGAGUGCUCAUGUUUGAGAUGAUGGCAGGAAGGUCUCCAUUUGAUAUUGUUGGGAGCUCCGAUAACCCUGACCAGAACACAGAGGAUUAUCUCUUCCAAGUUAUUUUGGAAAAACAAAUUCGCAUACCACGUUCUCUGUCUGUAAAAGCUGCAAGUGUUCUGAAGAGUUUUCUUAAUAAGGACCCUAAGGAACGGUUGGGUUGUC